Molecule: unclassified non-coding RNA, 686 nt
Filed under: Drosophila ananassae
Lineage: Eukaryota; Metazoa; Arthropoda; Insecta; Diptera; Drosophilidae
Description: GF28186
Source: RNAcentral
GCGAUUGAUUGAAUAAAAUAAGACGUGUUGGUCAGCGCGACAAUGGCUGGUCAGCGUCAAGGAUUAUUGAUUAUGCAAAGUGCCCGCUGCCCUGGACAAUGCCGAGAAAACAAAGGCUUAAGCAAAGAGAGCGGAAGGAUUCUGAAGGAGUCUCAGGCUGCACGAAAGGGUUGCUCGGCAGGACAGCGGUCAGUGGAAAUCAUGAAAAGUCUGUGCCGGAAUCUGAUGAGCCGGGAGCGAGAAAGUAUCCCCUUACAGGACACAGGACUCUAGACACAGCGCGUGUGUUUUCGCCUAUUAGAGAGAUAAUAGUUUCUGUCAUACCUCGGCUGUUUCUCCGCUGUUAAUGGUCAGUUUCGCUAUUUUUCCAUGGUUAAUUAAUAUCCAGCGCUGUCCGAGUUCGAGUCCGAGUGUGAGAAAGUGCCACUCCCCCCGUAGGCUGUACGGCAAAAGGUGAGACCUCAGGAGGUUAGAAGGCCAAGUUGCUGACGGAUGCUGAUGGAUUAGGUCGAUAAUUAAUGGAGUAUCCUAUUUUCUGUAACUGUAUCUGGUUUUGAAAUUACCCAAACUGACCAGAUAAUCGAUGGUCAACGAAAGGGUCGUACCUUUCCAUCAAGCGAAAGUAAUGCAGAACUGAAUCUCUUACAACCAGAAAUCAGAAAAUACUGCUAUAGCUAUGGUUUGAU